This 490-nucleotide ribosomal RNA is filed under the name uncultured bacterium. RNAcentral describes it as "partial 16S ribosomal RNA". It matches the Rfam family "Bacterial small subunit ribosomal RNA", at positions 30 to 507 of the family's 1533-position model. The record is from RNAcentral.
AUUGAACGCUGGCGGCAUGCUUUACACAUGCAAGUCGGACGGCAGCACAGAGAAGCUUGCUUCUUGGGUGGCGAGUGGCGAACGGGUGAGUAACAUAUCGGAACGUACCGAGCAGUGGGGGAUAACUAAUCGAAAGAUUAGCUAAUACCGCAUAUUUUCUGAGGAAGAAAGCAGGUGACCUUUGGGCCUUGCGCUGUUUGAGCGGCCGAUAUCUGAUUAGCUAGUUGGUGGGGUAAAGGCCUACCAAGGCGACGAUCAGUAGCGGGUCUGAGAGGAUGAUCCGCCACACUGGGACUGAGACACGGCCCAGACUCCUACGGGAGGCAGCAGUGGGGAAUUUUGGACAAUGGGCGCAAGCCUGAUCCAGCCAUGCCGCGUGUCUGAAGAAGGCCUUCGGGUUGUAAAGGACUUUUGUCAGGGAAGAAAAGGGCGGGGUUAAUACCCCUGUCUGAUGACGGUACCUGAAGAAUAAGCACCGGCUAACUACGUG